Molecule: ribosomal RNA, 253 nt
Filed under: uncultured bacterium
Lineage: Bacteria
Description: partial 16S ribosomal RNA
Rfam family: Bacterial small subunit ribosomal RNA
Source: RNAcentral
UACGUAGGGGGCAAGCGUUGUCCGGAAUCAUUGGGCGUAAAGAGCGUGUAGGCGGCUCGAUAAGUCUGCUGUGAAAGUCCAGGGCUCAACCCUGGAAGGCCGGUGGAAACUGUCGGGCUAGAGUCCGGAAGAGGCGAGUGGAAUUCCCGGUGUAGCGGUGAAAUGCGCAGAUAUCAGGAGGAACACCCGUGGCGAAAGCGGCUCUCUGGGACGGUACUGACGCUGAGACGCGAAAGCGUGGGGAGCAAACAGG